CAUUAGAUGACUGAAAGAAAGUUCUGGUCUCUUAAACCAUAUAAUAGUAAUUUACGACUACUUCUAAUG
RNAcentral lists this transfer RNA (69 nucleotides) under Henosepilachna pusillanima. RNAcentral describes it as "tRNA-Lys". The record is from RNAcentral. Lineage: Eukaryota; Metazoa; Arthropoda; Insecta; Coleoptera; Coccinellidae.